Molecule: long non-coding RNA, 238 nt
Filed under: Gossypium barbadense (sea-island cotton)
Lineage: Eukaryota; Viridiplantae; Streptophyta; Magnoliopsida; Malvales; Malvaceae
Description: long non-coding RNA (GBAR_LNC014149)
Source: RNAcentral
UUAUGCUCAUUUUCCAUCAUUGAUCACAUUUUUAUGCCUACAAUCCUUCAUACAUCCAAAGGUAGAUCUUAAAGAAAGAAACCAUGAAGGUCAUAUAACAAAAAGUGUUGUUGCUAGAAUAGUGGGUGGUAUUGCUAGGCAAAAGUAACUAGUUGAUGAACCAUCCAAGGUAGAACCUUCUGAUUAUCCAGUUGAGUCGAAACUGGAUCCUGAGCCAAAACCAGCUACUCAUCCUGCC